RNAcentral lists this ribosomal RNA (489 nucleotides) under uncultured bacterium. RNAcentral describes it as "partial 16S ribosomal RNA". It matches the Rfam family "Bacterial small subunit ribosomal RNA", at positions 28 to 506 of the family's 1533-position model. The record is from RNAcentral.
GAUGAACGCUAGCUACAGGCUUAACACAUGCAAGUCGAGGGGAAACGAUGAGAGAGCUUGCUCUCUUAGGCGUCGACCGGCGCACGGGUGAGUAACGCGUAUCCAACCUACCAAUUACGGGGGGCUAACCUUGCGAAAGUAAGACUAAUACCCCAUGGCAUUUUAUGGUGGCAUCAUUAUAGGAUUCAAGAUUUCUUGGUAAUGGAUGGGGAUGCGUCUGAUUAGCUUGUUGGCGGGGUAACGGCCCACCAAGGCAACGAGCAGUAGGGGUUCUGAGAGGAAGGUCCCCGAAAUUGGAACUGGGACCCGGUCCAAACUCGAACGGGAGGCAGCAGUGAGGAAGAAUGGGGAAUGAGCGAGAGCUUGAACCAGCCAAUUAGCGUGCAGGAUGACGGCCCUAUGGGUUGUAAUCUGCUUUUAUAGGGGAAUAAAGUGAGCUACGUGUAGUUUAUGGCAGGUACCCUAUAAAUAAGGACCGGCUAAUUCCGG